UUCAAUGUUGUCAAUGAUGCAUUCUUGUUGAAACUGAAUUACAUGAUCUAAUUCAAACUCGUCACUACCACUGAGACAACAUUGAG
Tupaia belangeri (northern tree shrew) is the source of this 86-nucleotide small nucleolar RNA. Ensembl annotates it as small nucleolar RNA, C/D box 70B. Lineage: Eukaryota; Metazoa; Chordata; Mammalia; Scandentia; Tupaiidae. The record is from Ensembl.